This 461-nucleotide ribosomal RNA is filed under the name Enterococcus faecium. RNAcentral describes it as "bacterial SSU rRNA". It matches the Rfam family "Bacterial small subunit ribosomal RNA", at positions 921 to 1384 of the family's 1533-position model. Lineage: Bacteria; Bacillati; Bacillota; Bacilli; Lactobacillales; Enterococcaceae. The record is from RNAcentral.
CCGCACAAGCGGUGGAGCAUGUGGUUUAAUUCGAAGCAACGCGAAGAACCUUACCAGGUCUUGACAUCCUUUGACCACUCUAGAGAUAGAGCUUCCCCUUCGGGGGCAAAGUGACAGGUGGUGCAUGGUUGUCGUCAGCUCGUGUCGUGAGAUGUUGGGUUAAGUCCCGCAACGAGCGCAACCCUUAUUGUUAGUUGCCAUCAUUCAGUUGGGCACUCUAUCAAGACUGCCGGUGACAAACCGGAGGAAGGUGGGGAUGACGUCAAAUCAUCAUGCCCCUUAUGACCUGGGCUACACACGUGCUACAAUGGGAAGUACAACGAGUUGCGAAGUCGCGAGGCUAAGCUAAUCUCUUAAAGCUUCUCUCAGUUCGGAUUGCAGGCUGCAACUCGCCUGCAUGAAGCCGGAAUCGCUAGUAAUCGCGGAUCAGCACGCCGCGGUGAUACGUUCCCGGGCCUUGU